This 72-nucleotide transfer RNA is filed under the name Streptomyces qinglanensis. Its description in RNAcentral is "Streptomyces sp. 172205 tRNA". It matches the Rfam family "tRNA". Rfam says of the family: Transfer RNA (tRNA) molecules are approximately 80 nucleotides in length. RNAcentral also lists the same sequence under 10 other names. The record is from Rfam by way of RNAcentral. Lineage: Bacteria; Bacillati; Actinomycetota; Actinomycetes; Kitasatosporales; Streptomycetaceae.
UCCCCCGUGGUGUAACGGGCAGCACCCUGGAUUUUGGAUCCAGUAGUCAAGGUUCAAAUCCUUGCGGGGGAG